GAUUAACGCUGGCGGCAUGCCUAAGACAUGCAAGUCGAACGAAGUGACCCAUUGAAGUUGGAGUGCUUGCACAAAAACGGAUUUGGAUUUUCACUUAGUGGCGGAUGGGUGAGUAACACGUGGGUAAUCUACCCUUAAGUUGGGGAUAACACAGGGAAACCUGUGCUAAUACCGAAUAUGAAGCAGAAAUGAUUUUUUUGUUUUGAAAGAUGCCUUUAAAGCAUCACUUAAGGAUGAGCCUGCGGCGUAUUAGCUAGUUGGUGGGGUAAUGGCCUACCAAGGCGAUGAUGCGUAGCCGAACUGAGAGGUUGAACGGCCACAUUGGGACUGAGACACGGCCCAAACUCCUACGGGAGACAGCAGUUAGGAAUAUUCGUCAAUGGGGGAAACCCUGAACGAGCAAUGCCGCGUGAGUGAUGAAGGUCUUUUGGAUUGUAAAACUCUGUUGUAUGGGAAGAACACCAGGUAUAGGAAAUGAUACUUGGCUGACGGUACCAUACCAGAAAGCCCCGG
RNAcentral lists this ribosomal RNA (513 nucleotides) under uncultured bacterium. Its description in RNAcentral is "bacterial SSU rRNA". It matches the Rfam family "Bacterial small subunit ribosomal RNA", at positions 28 to 496 of the family's 1533-position model. The record is from RNAcentral.